GUGGUUUUCAUGGAGACAAAAGGUGGAGAAGGACAGUCCUGUGAAGUGGCUGCAACAUUCGAAGGUAACAGUAAGUCUUCAUCAAGAGCCAGACAUGCCUUAGAAUAACAGGUAAAUAAAUAAUUUAAAGCAGAGGCCUCACAUUACCAGACUAAGUCCCAACCAACCAAAUCAUGUUCCUCAUUUGAAAUUCCUCUAAGUGUCACAAAGGUUGUUGUGUUUGUGAUGUGGGUUUUGACUGUCCUCAUGUUACCAGAAAGGGGUCCUGAUCCAGACCCCAAAAGAGGGUUAUUGGAUCUUGCACAAAAAAGAAUUUGAGGUCAAUCCAUAAAGUGAAAGGAAGUUUACUGGGAAAGUAAAGGAAUACAGGAAUGGCUACUCCAUAGUCAGAGCAGCCCCACGGGUUGGUGGUUGCCCACUUUUCUGGUUAUUUCUUGAUUAUAUGCUAAACAAGAAGUGGAUUAUUCAUGCC
This 472-nucleotide long non-coding RNA is filed under the name Pongo abelii (Sumatran orangutan). RNAcentral's name for it is "lincRNA". Lineage: Eukaryota; Metazoa; Chordata; Mammalia; Primates; Hominidae. The record is from RNAcentral.